RNAcentral lists this small RNA (31 nucleotides) under Bombyx mori (domestic silkworm). Its description in RNAcentral is "ovarian small RNA-11309". Lineage: Eukaryota; Metazoa; Arthropoda; Insecta; Lepidoptera; Bombycidae. The record is from RNAcentral.
ACCGAUUCGAUUGGCUCGUACUCGGGCCGUA